GGCUGGAUAGUUCAGUGGCAGAAGUCAGUUACAUCCAAAACCCUCGGAAGACUGUCCAUUGAAUAAUGUCUAAUAAUAACAUUUAGUUCUUGCUUUGGGUACUUUACUUGUGUGUAAGAGGUCCUGGGUUCAAAUCCCAGUUCAGCCC
Non-coding RNA from Lepraria neglecta, 148 nucleotides. The record is from the annotation of a GenBank genome assembly. NCBI's taxonomy places the organism in Eukaryota, Fungi, Ascomycota, Lecanoromycetes, Lecanorales, Stereocaulaceae.